AUUGAACGCUGGCGGCAGGCCUAACACAUGCAAGUCGAACGAGUGGCGGACGGGUGAGUAAUGUCUGGGAAACUGCCUGAUGGAGGGGGAUAACUACUGGAAACGGUAGCUAAUACCGCAUACCAUCGGAUGUGCCCAGAUGGGAUUAGCUAGUAGGUGGGGUAAAGGCGCACCUAGGCGACGAUCCCUAGCUGGUCCGAGAGGAUGACCAGCCACACUGGAACUGAGACACGGUCCAGACUCCUACGAGAGGCAGAAGUGGGGAAUAGUGCACAAUGGGCGCAAGCCUGAUGCAGCCAGGCCGCGUGUAGGAAGAAGGCCUUCGGGUUGUAAAGUACUUUCAGCGGGGAGGCGUUACCCGCAGAAGAAGCACCGGCUAACUCCGUGCCAGCAGCCGCGGUAAUAC
Molecule: ribosomal RNA, 406 nt
Filed under: uncultured bacterium
Lineage: Bacteria
Description: partial 16S ribosomal RNA
Rfam family: Bacterial small subunit ribosomal RNA
Source: RNAcentral